This 301-nucleotide ribosomal RNA is filed under the name uncultured bacterium. RNAcentral's name for it is "partial 16S ribosomal RNA". It matches the Rfam family "Bacterial small subunit ribosomal RNA", at positions 509 to 807 of the family's 1533-position model. The record is from RNAcentral.
CAGUAGCCGCGGGAAUACGAGGGGGGCAAGCGUUGUUCGGAAUUAUUGGGCGUAAAGGGUGCGUAGGCGGCUUGACAAGUCUUGUGUGAAAUCUAUGGGCUCAACCCAUAGUCUGCACGGGAAACUGUCGGGCUUGAGAAUGGGAGAGGUGAGUGGAAUUUCCGGUGUAGCGGUGAAAUGCGUAGAUAUCGGAAGGAACACCUGUGGCGAAAGCGGCUCACUGGACCAUUUCUGACGCUGAUGCACGAAAGCUAGGGGAGCAAACAGGAUUAGAUACCCCGGUAGUCCCUGUCUCUUAUAC